AUUGAACGCUGGCGGCAGGCCUAACACAUGCAAGUCGAGCGGAUGAAGGGAGCUUGCUCCUGGAUUCAGCGGCGGACGGGUGAGUAAUGCCUAGGAAUCUGCCUGGUAGUGGGGGAUAACGUCCGGAAACGGGCGCUAAUACCGCAUACGUCCUGAGGGAGAAAGUGGGGGAUCUUCGGACCUCACGCUAUCAGAUGAGCCUAGGUCGGAUUAGCUAGUUGGUGGGGUAAAGGCCUACCAAGGCGACGAUCCGUAACUGGUCUGAGAGGAUGAUCAGUCACACUGGAACUGAGACACGGUCCAGACUCCUACGGGAGGCAGCAGUGGGGAAUAUUGGACAAUGGGCGAAAGCCUGAUCCAGCCAUGCCGCGUGUGUGAAGAAGGUCUUCGGAUUGUAAAGCACUUUAAGUUGGGAGGAAGGGCAGUGAGUUAAUACCUCGCUGUUUUGACGUUACCAACAGAAUAAGCACCGGCUAACUUCGUG
Molecule: ribosomal RNA, 484 nt
Filed under: uncultured bacterium
Lineage: Bacteria
Description: partial 16S ribosomal RNA
Rfam family: Bacterial small subunit ribosomal RNA
Source: RNAcentral